CUAUUUCCAGAUGUUUCUAAAGAUGAAAACAGAAUUAAACUCCAGCCUGAUCCGUUUCUGAGGUUCCUGACUCUGAACGUCCCUCAAACGCCUCUCUGAUCGUUUCCUUCCGUCGCUUUUACUUUCGCUUUCGUGAAUGUUGUGGCGCAGUUGAUCGUCUCCAUGUUAAGCAGCAUGGAUCAGUGUGAGGACAGAGAGGAGGGAGUCCCUCCCUCUAAAAGCACUCUGUGUGGGGAACAUGAGAGCCAGACCAAAGCUCAGAGCCCAGAGCUGUGGGGCGUACCAGGCUCAGCUGGACAUAACCCUAAAACUAAUCCAGAACCUGGACCUGAACCCAGCUGUGUUUCCUUAAAGAGCAACAAGUCGAAGGAUAUUAUUUUAAACUUUAACAAAAGACUGUUAUGUGACAAAGAGAUCAAUAAGAGGCCAGAAUCUCCUGGACCUGAACCCAGCUGUGUGUCUCUAAAGAGCAACGAGUCGAAGGAUAUUCGUGUAGACUUUAAAGGAUGUUCUUCUGCUGCUGAGAGAGCUUCUGCACAGUGUGGAGAAAGAUCCAGAAGCAGAGCUGGACUGCAGACAGCCAGUCAGAGCAGCUGUGUACAAACAGAUGUUGGUCUGCAGGAGGUUUUAGAUGAACAUAAGAUCAGUCUGAGGAGGAGAUAUGAACAUGUGACUGAAGGAAGUGAUGAAACAGGAAGUAGAACCCUCCUCAACACCAUCUACACUGAGCUCUACAUCACAGAGGGACAGAGUGAAGAGGUUCAUACCCAACAUGAGGUGAGGCAGCUGGAGACAGCUUCUAAGAUGGACGCCCUCCAUGACGCUCCAAUCAGGUGCCAGGACAUCUUUAAAGCCUUACCUGACCAACAGAGACCCAUCAGAGUGGUUCUGACCAACGGCGUGGCUGGUGUUGGAAAAACCUUCUCAGUGCAGAAGUUCACUCUGGACUGGGCAGAGGGCUUGGAGAACCAACAUGUCAGUGUGGUGGUUCUGCUUUCAUUCAGGGAGCUGAACCUGAUCAGAGAUGAGCAGUACAGUCUUCUGGAGCUGCUCCAUGUUUUCCAUCCAACAUUACAGAAGGUCACAGCAGAGAAGCUGGCUGUCUCUCAGCUUUUGUUCAUCUUUGACGGCCUGGAUGAAAGCAGACUUUCAUUGGAUUUCACCAACAGGAAGCUGCUGUCUGAUGUCACACAGAAGUCAUCAGUCAGCCAGCUGCUGACAAACCUCAUCCAGGGGAAUCUGCUUCCCUCGGCUCUCGUCUGGAUCACUUCCCGACCUGCAGCAGCCAAUCAGAUCCCUCCUACAUGUGUUGACAGGCUAACAGAAGUACGAGGCUUCACUGACACCCAGAAGGAGGAGUACUUCAGGAGGAGAUUCAGUGAUGAAGAGCUGUCCAGCAGAAUCAUCUCCCACAUGAAGACAUCCAGGAGCCUCCACAUCAUGUGUAGUAUCCCAGUCUUCUGCUGGAUCACUGCUACAGUUCUGGAGCACAUGUUGACUACAGAGCAGAGAGGAGAGCUGCCCAAGACCCUGACUGACAUGUACUCACACUUCCUGCUGGUUCAGACAAAGAGGAAGAAGAACAAGUACCAUGAGGGACAUGAGACGAGUCCACAGGAGCUGACGGAGGCUGACAGGGAAGUUCUUCUGAAGCUGGGGAGGCUGGCGUUUGAACAUCUGGAGAAAGGAAACAUCAUGUUCUACCAAGAAGACCUGGAGCAGUGUGGUCUGGAUGUGACAGAGGCCUCGGUGUACUCAGGAGUUUGUACAGAGAUCUUCAAAAGAGAGUGUGUAAUCUUCCAGAAACCAGUCUACUGCUUUGUUCAUCUGAGCAUUCAGGAGUUUCUGGCUGCUGUCUACAUGUUCCACUGUCACACCAACAGGAAGACAAAGGUGCUGAAGAACUUCCUUAAACCAAAAUCUUUAAUUAAGAUGAUUUCCAGUAAAUCCCUCCAGAGUAAAAAUGGCCACCUGGACCUGUUUGUUCGCUUCCUUCAUGGCCUCUGUCUGGAGUCCAACCAGAGACUCUUAGUAGGUCUGCUGGGUCAGACAGAGAACGGUCCAGGAACCAUUCAGAGAGUCAUCAACAACCUGAAGAAGAUGAACAGUGAUGAAAUCUCUCCUGACAGAAGCAUCAACAUCUUCCACUGUCUGAUGGAGAUGAACCACCUCUCAGUACAUCAGGAGAUCCAAGAGUUCCUGAAGUCAGAGAACAGAUCAGAGAAGAAACUCUCUGAGAUCCAGUGCUCAGCUCUGGCCUUCAUGCUGCAGAUGUCAGAGGAGGUUCUGGAUGAGUUGAACCUGCAGAAGUACAACACAUCAGAGCGGGGACGACAGAGACUGAUUCCAGCUGUGAGGAACUGCAGAAAGGCUCGAUUGAGUGUCUGUAAUCUCUCAGAGAGAAGCUGUGAAACUCUGUCUUCACUACUCAGCUCCCAGCCCUCUAGUUUGAGACAGCUUGACCUGAGUAACAAUGACCUGAAGGACUCUGGAGUGAAAGUUUUGUCUUCUGGACUGAAAAGUCCAUAUUGUGAACUGGAAACACUCAGGCUGUCAGGCUGCCUGAUCACAGAGGAAGGUUGCAAGUCUCUGGUCUCAGCUUUUAGCUCCAGUUCUUCCCAUCUGAAAGAGCUGGACCUGAGCUACAAUAACCCAGGAGAGGCAGGAGUGAAGAUGCUUGAGCAGCUAAAACUGGACACUCUGAGGUAUGUGAACCUGGACCCUGCUGGAGUCCGAUGGUUGAGACCAGGUCUGAGGAAGUAUUCCUGUCAACUCACAAUCGACACAAACACAGUGAACACAAAGCUCCAACUGUCUGACAACAACAGGAAGGUGACACAUGUGGAGGAGGUUCAGUCAUAUCCUGAUCAUCCAGACAGAUUUGAUGUUCUUCCUCAGCUGCUGUGUAGAGAUGGUCUGACUGGUCGCUGUUACUGGGAGGUCGAGUGGACGAGGAGGGCUUGGAUAUCAGUGAGUUACAGAGGAAUCAAAAGGAAAGGAAGGAGUGAUGAGUGUGUGUUUGGUGGAAAUGAUCAGUCCUGGAGUCUUUUCUGUUCUGAUCAUUAUUCCUCUGUGUGGCACAAUAACAGAGAAACACCCAUCUCCUCCUACUCUUCCUCCUCCUCCUCCUCCUCUGUCUCUAACAGAGCAGCAGUGUAUGUGGACUGUCCUGCUGGCACUCUGUCCUUCUACAGAGUCUCCUCUGACACUCUGAUCCACCUCCACACCUUCAACACCACAUUCACUGAACCUCUUUAUCCUGGAUUUGGGUUCUGCAUUCAGUGUUCCUUUACAUUUUGGCAAAGAAGUAUGUAUCAGCAGUUAAAGGACAUAUUAAAAAGUAGAGAGGCAAUUUUGAUGUCAGUGACUCUGUGUAGUUAGUCUUACCUGUUAGAGAAACAGGUCAGUCUGUACAUGUCUGUGUCUUUCACUCUGAAACACAUGAUGAGAUUCAUGGAUUCAGUCAGUUGAUGUUUUAAACUAAAUGAUUCACAAAUUAUUAUUCAACACAAGUUUGGUGAGCAGCAGGGCUCAUCCUGAUUUUUGUUUUUGUGCAUUAUAAUGAUGAAAUAACUUUGUCAUGUCUGUGGUGGCCUUUGGAGAAUUAAACCAUCCUUUAGAAACUAGAUAUAAAUGUCAUAUUUUCCAACAUUGAUAUUUUUCUGUGUUUCAGACGACAAUAAAAAGAUAAAGAACAGUCUGUAAAUCAUAAGUUAUCAAUUCAAAUGAUUAUUAAAGCCACAAGAGAAGCUUCCUGUUAUUUGUACCACUCACCUGGUCAUGUGAUCCAGCUGUGCAGCCAAUCAUAACUGACAUCACUUUCUACUUUGAUAUUUCCAUGGUGAAUGGACUGAUUCUUGUUUAACACGUUCAUACUCUGAUGGAUGCAUCGGAGAGGGUUAGUGUCUUGCUCAAGGAUACUUUGUGUGCCAGCUGGAGCAGUCAGGGAUUGAACCACCAACCUUCUGAUCAUUAGAUGCCUUGCUCUAUCUCCUGAGCUACAGCAUCAUCAAAGCUCUUUCUUAAAUCCUCUCUGAGAGGAGCUCAAACACGAGGAAGAGAUGAAAGUGAGGGAAGAGAGUGGACUCAUUAGUAAAAUGAAAAACAGCCAGCGUUGAUGUUUAAGACAAGUGAGGUAACAGAAAUACUAUAUAUGGCAGUGGUCACCAUGGCAACAUCAGUGUCGGUUGCUACGUAUUGUAUUGAUCCUGAUCUGUGAGCCUCAUAUCAGGAUAUGCUGUUGUUUGUAUUUGUUUUCAUUGUUACCAUUUUUGUGUCUUUUUUUAACAAACUCCUUUUAUCUUGCCAUCGUUUGUCAGAGAGUCAAACUAAAUUUGGUUCAUCUUUCUACAAUAAAAACAUAUCUUCAUCUUAA
This is a long non-coding RNA of Oreochromis niloticus (Nile tilapia), 4375 nucleotides long. RefSeq annotates it as protein NLRC3. Lineage: Eukaryota; Metazoa; Chordata; Actinopteri; Cichliformes; Cichlidae. The record is from RefSeq and is a predicted model, not a curated record. The transcript has 13 exons.